CAUUCACGGAGAGUUUGAUCCUGGCUCAGGACGAACGCUGGCGGCGUGCUUAACACAUGCAAGUCGAACGAUGAAGCCCUUCGGGGUGGAUUAGUGGCGAACGGGUGAGUAACACGUGGGCAAUCUGCCCUGCACUCUGGGACAAGCCCUGGAAACGGGGUCUAAUACCGGAUAUGACACACGACCGCAUGGUCUGUGUGUGGAAAGCUCCGGCGGUGCAGGAUGAGCCCGCGGCCUAUCAGCUUGUUGGUGGGGUAAUGGCCUACCAAGGCGACGACGGGUAGCCGGCCUGAGAGGGCGACCGGCCACACUGGGACUGAGACACGGCCCAGACUCCUACGGGAGGCAGCAGUGGGGAAUAUUGCACAAUGGGCGCAAGCCUGAUGCAGCGACGCCGCGUGAGGGAUGACGGCCUUCGGGUUGUAAACCUCUUUCAGCAGGGAAGAAGCGCAAGUGACGGUACCUGCAGAAGAAGCGCCGGCUAACUACGUGCCAGCAGCCGCGGUAAUACGUAGGGCGCAAGCGUUGUCCGGAAUUAUUGGGCGUAAAGAGCUCGUAGGCGGCUUGUCGCGUCGGAUGUGAAAGCCCGGGGCUUAACCCCGGGUCUGCAUUCGAUACGGGCAGGCUAGAGUUCGGUAGGGGAGAUCGGAAUUCCUGGUGUAGCGGUGAAAUGCGCAGAUAUCAGGAGGAACACCGGUGGCGAAGGCGGAUCUCUGGGCCGAUACUGACGCUGAGGAGCGAAAGCGUGGGGAGCGAACAGGAUUAGAU
Molecule: ribosomal RNA, 768 nt
Filed under: Streptomyces rimosus
Lineage: Bacteria; Bacillati; Actinomycetota; Actinomycetes; Kitasatosporales; Streptomycetaceae
Description: bacterial SSU rRNA
Rfam family: Bacterial small subunit ribosomal RNA
Source: RNAcentral